RNAcentral lists this ribosomal RNA (443 nucleotides) under uncultured bacterium. RNAcentral describes it as "partial 16S ribosomal RNA". It matches the Rfam family "Bacterial small subunit ribosomal RNA", at positions 338 to 795 of the family's 1533-position model. The record is from RNAcentral.
CCUACGGGAGGCAGCAGUGGGGGAUAUUGGACAAUGGGGGGAACCCUGAUCCAGCGACGCCGCGUGAGUGAAGAAGUAUCUCGGUAUGUAAAGCUCUAUCAGCAGGGAAGCAAAGAAUGACGGUCCCUGAAUAAGCAGCCCCGGCUAACUACGUGCCAGCAGCCGCGGGAAUACGUAGGGGGCAAGCGUUAUGCGGAUUUACUGGGUGUAAAGGGGGCGCAGACGGCAAUGCAAGCGUGGAGUGAAAGGCGGGGGCCCAACCCCCGGACUGCUCGGGGAACUGUAUAGCUAGAGUGCAGGAGAGGCAAGUGGAAUUCCUGGUGUAGCGGUGAAAUGCGUAGAUAUUAGGAAGAACACCAGUGGCGAAGGCAGCUUGCUCGACGGUAACUGACGUUGAGGCACGAAAGCGUGGGGAGCGAACAGGAUUAGAUACCCCAGUAGUC